GAGGGGCGACAGGGGUAGCAAUACCUGCUGGCGACCGGCAAACGGGUGCGGAACACGUACAGAACCUUCCUUUAAGCGGGGAAUAGCCCGGAGAAAUCCGGAUUAAUACUCCAUAGUAAUAUUUGGUGGCAUCACCGGGUAUUUAAAGAUUUAUCACUUAGAGAUGGCUGUGCGGCUGAUUAGGUAGUUGGUUGAGGUAACGGCUCACCAAGCCUUCGAUCAGUAACUGGUGUGAGAGCACGACCAGUCACACGGGCACUGAGACACGGGCCCGACUCCUACGGGAGGCAGCAGUAAGGAAUAUUGGUCAAUGGAGGCAACUCUGAACCAGCCAUGCCGCGUGAAGGAUGAAGGCCCUCUGGGUUGUAAACUUCUUUUAUCUGGGAAGAAAUGCUUGUUUUUUAAUGAGUUUGACGGUACCAGAGGAAUAAGCACCGGCUAACUCCGUGCCAGCAGCCGCGGUAAUACGGAGGGUGCAAGCGUUAUCCGGAUUCACUGGGUUUAAAGGGUGCGUAGGUGGGAAUGUAAGUCAGUGGUGAAAUCUCCGUGCUUAACAUGGAAACUGCCAUUGAUACUAUGUUUCUUGAAUUUUCCGGAGGUCAGCGGAAUAUGCCAUGUAGCGGUGAAAUGCUUAGAUAUGACAUAGA
This 647-nucleotide ribosomal RNA is filed under the name uncultured Bacteroidota bacterium. RNAcentral's name for it is "bacterial SSU rRNA". It matches the Rfam family "Bacterial small subunit ribosomal RNA", at positions 64 to 705 of the family's 1533-position model. Lineage: Bacteria; Pseudomonadati; Bacteroidota. The record is from RNAcentral.